GCAGAAUCAAGGCCAAAGGUAAGAAUGCAAGGACUGAUAAGACUGCUGAUGGCAUGUCAGAAAGUCACAGGAGUCCCAGAGGAGUGCGGAAAGACAGACGUCUGUUGCAACAACAGCCUGGCAAUAAAGAGCACAGGCUAAAGGAUACGCUCAUUGGGAAACUUUGGGAAAACUUAGGAAAGAGACAAGAAACAGUAAGAGCCUGUGAGAGAGUCAGACAUUUUCUUUUGGGCAAUGGGAAGCCUGGAGAGCGCCGGAGCAGAAGUUAG
RNAcentral lists this long non-coding RNA (269 nucleotides) under Homo sapiens (human). RNAcentral's name for it is "non-protein coding lnc-OXR1-3:1". Lineage: Eukaryota; Metazoa; Chordata; Mammalia; Primates; Hominidae. The record is from RNAcentral.